GUGACAAAAUUAUACAGAUGGUCAUGUUAAAUAUUACUCGGAUCUUCCUCAGACUCAGGUCCUCGGGUUGCAGCAGAGCCCUGGUUUUCACUAUCUGCCAAGAGGAUUUUUUUGCUCCCUUCACAUUUCACUGAUGCCGUUUCAUGCUUUCCUCUCUAUUUACAGACAAAAUACAGCAUUCCUAUUAAUAUUGCACUUACUGAGGUAAAACGUAGCGUGGAUCCAGUAAGAAAAAGUAGAUCCUUUAUGAAUAGAGUCCCAGCUUAGUUAGGAAAGCACAUGUUUAUCUGAUGAAAAGAUAGACCCUGUUUCUUCAAAGUUUGCAGUUGCUGCCUGGAUUGAAGCUCCUUAUCUCUGAAAGCAGAUCUGACAGCUCUCCCCCGUUCAGAGGCUUGAAGUUAACUGUGAUCAACAGAUGAGAACUAGUCCGUCCCUGACUUUGUUUCACACAUAACUACGGCACUCAGUCAGGAAGCACUUUGCCAGACAUAAUACAGAGCAAUGUGUGCGUCUUUCUCUUGGUCCUAAUGCCCUCACUGUUCGUGUUCUAUCAAAUCAAAACUCUGCAAAAGCUGUAAGAGGUGAAAUAUAAGAAGCAAAAUGCUGUAUUAAAACAGAAAUCAAGGCAUACCAGGAA
Molecule: long non-coding RNA, 637 nt
Organism: Neopsephotus bourkii (Bourke's parrot)
Lineage: Eukaryota; Metazoa; Chordata; Aves; Psittaciformes; Psittacidae
Exons: 2
Source: RefSeq, a predicted model, not a curated record